CUUAACUUGCCGGUAGUGGUGGCUCGUGACUUUUCAAAAAGAAAGAAUGUAAACAGCGUUGUGGUUCACCAGACCACAUACUUUGACCACACUGGAGCCAACCAACCAAUCGACUUGAAGAGCCAGUUUCAGGCAUAAUCUAUUGACACUCAUCUGUAAACGGAGAUUUAGCUGCUGCUUCCCAACUCCACGUUCCACAGGUCUUUUUCAAAUUUGCAUAUGUGACACUUGACCUCUUCCUGAGAAAAGUUCCCCAGUGACUCGCGACCUGCUCCCGUCUGGGCUGAGGGCCUUGACACCUGAUGUCAGCCUGGAAUCUCACUUCACUGCCACCCUGGGGAUUCCCUUUGCCUCUAUUCUAUGCUGGAUAUUCUAUUUACUUCAUCAAAGGCUUUUCUUGAUUUAGUCUUUAUUCUACCCUUAAACUUGAUCAAAGUUAGACUGGGUGUGGAAUUUCAGGUUAAAAAUAAUUUGCCUUUAUAAUUUUGAAAGCCUUGUUCCAUUCUAUCUGCUUUCAUGUUAUUAUUGAGGAAUUUAGAGCUAUUCUGCUUUAUAGCUUCCAAAAUGGCCUCCUUUUCUAUUCUCUUCCUUGUGGCUUUGUCUUAAAAAAUAAAAAUAACUGUUAUUUUAGUGGGUUUUUGAGGAGUAAAAUUAAAUGUGUGUCCAGUUUCACACAGCUGGCCUCUGGGUGAGCUUGUUGCUCUUAUCAAGCUAGUACCUUCUCUUAAUUGCUUACCGCCCAAAUCUCCAUCUCCAUUGUUUUUGACAGAACCCUUAGGUGGGAGUUUCUCCACACUCUGUUCCAAACAAAUCAGUUUACUAGGGGAGAACUUCAGAACUCUCUGUUCUUAGGGCUUUCACUCCUCCUGGGGAAAAAUAUUUGAGACACUGCUAUGGAGGUGAGGGCGCAGACCACGGCCUGCUUCUGCUGGAGUGGCACCUCUGUUUUUGGAGCAUGAUGCUCCGUGGGACAGUAGCUUCUGGUCUUUUCAGUUAGCCUCUUCCUGCAUGGUACCUCCCCUCUGUGAACAAGCUGGGGCCAAGGUGACCAGGGCUCCAGUUUUCUUGGCCUGAUAACUCUGGGAGAGAGCCCUUGCCUUCUGUUUGGGUGGAAAAAGGAAGGCCCGGACCUCUCGGCUGCCCUUGCCUGGAAUUCAGCCUUUGCAACACAGAAGUAGGGAUGUGAGGAAUGGCAGCAGCCUGCCCCUCCCAGGGAGAUGCCAUAGCCCUGGCUGAGAGCUGGGGGCACUGCAACCAGUGUGUCUGCGGCGCCUGCUCUGGGAGAGUGGGGCGCUUUUCGCAUGUUGAACUGGGCGGAAGGGAUGAGAAGGUUGCAGCUUAAGUCCAAACACUAUCACUGCUCUUACUGAGAUUUAUUAGAUUUUCUUACAUAAAUGUUUCUUCAUUUGUUGCAUGUCCUGAGGACAAUUAAAAAAUUUUCCCUUUGGACAGGAGGUUACACCAUGUUUGUGAUACUCUUUGAGGAGAGUAAUGGGCUUACCACCUGCAACACGGUCCAGUCAGGGAUUCAAUGGCUCCCUUUAUUACUUACAGCCUGUUUCAUUCGUGUGUGUUUCAUCCUUUUCUUCUUUCUGGUCCUUCACUUCCCACAUUCUUUCUGUUCUUCACCUUGGGAAGGCAGGUU
Manis javanica (Malayan pangolin) is the source of this 1645-nucleotide long non-coding RNA. RefSeq lists it as uncharacterized. The record is from RefSeq and is a predicted model, not a curated record. Lineage: Eukaryota; Metazoa; Chordata; Mammalia; Pholidota; Manidae.